UCUCCGUUGGUGAGCCAGCGGAGGGAUCAUUACAGAGUUGCAAAACUCCCAAACCAUUGUGAACGUUACCUCUCCCGUUGCUUCGGCGGGCGGCCCGGGCCCCGCGCCCGGCGCCCCCCGGCCCCCCGUGGGCGCCCGCCGGAGGUAAACCAAACCCUUGAAUUGCAUGGCCUCUCUGAGGCUGCUGUACUGAAUAAGUCAAAACUUUCAACAACGGAUCUCUUGGUUCUG
RNAcentral lists this unclassified non-coding RNA (231 nucleotides) under plant metagenome. Its description in RNAcentral is "partial contains small subunit ribosomal RNA, internal transcribed spacer 1, and 5.8S ribosomal RNA". The record is from RNAcentral.